This is an RNA transcript of Lotus japonicus, 1422 nucleotides long. RefSeq lists it as uncharacterized. The transcript has 8 exons. The record is from RefSeq and is a predicted model, not a curated record. NCBI's taxonomy places the organism in Eukaryota, Viridiplantae, Streptophyta, Magnoliopsida, Fabales, Fabaceae.
AACCUCAUCAAAUAUUUUCCAGACUGUUUGUAUCCAUUUCUUUUUCAAUUUGGUCUACCCCUCAUUGUCCAAUAAACAAUGUUCAUUCCCACUAGCACCCCAAUCCGUCUUCUGUCUUCCUUUAGUGCCAUUUUGAAUUUAAAUUUUGAGCAUUAAAUUUAUUAAUUCUGUUACUAAUUAACCUCCCCCCUUCCACCUUUCACUCCACCAAUCAAAUUUCUUCUCUAGAUGUUUCCCCAGUUACUCCUCUUUUCCAAUACCACCGCCCCCACUAUCUUUAUUUUGGCCAAUUACAUGUGUGCAUUCCCACUACUAAAUUAAUUGAGGCUCUCAUAUUUACAUCAUGGUAAAUUCAUUUCCUCCUCAGUUCCCCAAUACAAAUGCUAAUUUUUUAAAUUCUGAAUUUGAAAGAACUCAGAUUCCCAAUUCAUCUCCUCAUCUACCUCUUUUCCUUCUUCUUCUAUCUCCAUUUUCCAUGCCUGCAUCCUCUCAGGUUUCUUUGGUUGAAAUUUUCUUUCCCGUUACUCCGCUGCUUCACUGGCAAGGACGAUUUUCAGAGGAACUACAGAUUUGGCAAAUCAAUACAUUUGUAGCAUUACUGGACAUAUGGCCAAUUGGAGAUCAUGUGUUAAUGGUGGCAGAAGCUUUAAAUUUCAAGGUAAGAUUUUGGAGAUGACAUUCAAUAUUGUUUCUGCUGUCAAGGUCCAAAGAUUUCAAUUCAAUAACAUUUAAUUUUAUCAAUGUUAAGAUGCAGGCCCGUGAGCAGAGGAAAGGAAACAAAAUCUGUACAGGACUUACUAAGUCAACUUUCUGGUACAUAUAAUGAUGAGUUUGAUGGAGAAAAUUAGAAUGCUUCUGCCUUCCUUCCACAGGUUGUCAUUGGAAAGAUGAAUGCUUAGUCCAUAGAGCAAUGUAAGAAGUUUGGGAAUUGGUCGUCGAAUGCCAUACUUUCUGGCUUUUCGAGGAAGAGAUGUUACAACAUUACAUCCAAAUAUGCAAGAACAAUAGACUCAUUAUGUUAAGUGAAAUUAGCUAAUGAAGUUUAUCAAGAAUGUUAGCUGUCACUGAAAUGGACUAUGAAGAUUUAGAACUAUCAUAGAUACUAAUGCGAUAAAUAAUUCUGAGGCAGGUUAUUGAGGUGACACUUUGAUAUGAUGAAUUGAUGACAAUUUUAAAGGACCAAUGAUGAAAUAUUCGAUGUCACCAUGAUCUUUAGAGUUCGGAGGAUUGAGUUUUCAUUACUCUAGCCUCCUAAUCAGGUUUCAUUGUUAUCAUUAUUGAUAUAUUGUCAGGAAACUUGGCAAUAGGAAAACUCAAACACUUUAUUAGAUGUGUUCAUAACUUCUACAAAUUUAUAGUGGAACUCUUUGGAUCAUGAAAAGUUAACUCAUAUAUUUAGGAGGUAAUUAUCUUAUAGUGCAA